This 253-nucleotide ribosomal RNA is filed under the name uncultured prokaryote. Its description in RNAcentral is "partial 16S ribosomal RNA". It matches the Rfam family "Bacterial small subunit ribosomal RNA", at positions 525 to 777 of the family's 1533-position model. The record is from RNAcentral.
ACGGAGGGUGCAAGCGUUAAUCGGAAUUACUGGGCGUAAAGCGCACGUAGGCGGACUUUCAAGUCAGGGGUGAAAUCCCGGGGCUCAACCUCGGAAUUGCCUUUGAUACUGUAGGUCUCGAGUCCGGAAGAGGUGGGUGGAAUUCCUAGUGUAGAGGUGAAAUUCGUAGAUAUUAGGAAGAACACCGGUGGCGAAGGCGGCCCACUGGUCCGGUACUGACGCUGAGGUGCGAAAGCGUGGGGAGCAAACAGGA